RNAcentral lists this ribosomal RNA (489 nucleotides) under uncultured bacterium. RNAcentral describes it as "bacterial SSU rRNA". It matches the Rfam family "Bacterial small subunit ribosomal RNA", at positions 8 to 526 of the family's 1533-position model. The record is from RNAcentral.
AGAGUUUGAUCCUGGCUCAGGAUGAACGCUGGCGGCGUGCCUAAUACAUGCAAGUCGAACGGGGUAGCAAUACUCAGUGGCGACCGGGUGAGUAACACGUAGCCGAUCUGCCUUCUCGCGGGGGAUAACGUUCCGAAAGGAACGCUAAUACCGCAUAAUGUCAAGACCUUUAGAGAGUUUUGACUAAACUUCCGGGGCGAGAAGAGGAGGCUGCGGCCCAUCAGGUAGUUGGUGAGGUAACGGCUCACCAAGCCAACGACGGGUAGGGGGUCUGAGAGGACUAACCCCCACACUGGAACAGACAUACGGGCCAGACUCCUACGGGAGGCAGCAGUAAGGGAUAUUGCACAAUGGGCGAAAGCCUGAUGCAGCAACGCCGCGUGGAGGAAGAAGGAUUUCGGUCUGUAAACUCCUUUUACGAGGGACGAGAUAGGACGGUACCUCGUGAAUAAGUCACGGCUAACUACGUGCCAGCAGCCGCGGUAAUAC